Molecule: transfer RNA, 84 nt
Filed under: Candidatus Iainarchaeum sp.
Lineage: Archaea; Nanobdellati; Candidatus Iainarchaeota; Candidatus Iainarchaeia; Candidatus Iainarchaeales; Candidatus Iainarchaeaceae
Description: tRNA-Leu
Rfam family: tRNA
About the family: Transfer RNA (tRNA) molecules are approximately 80 nucleotides in length.
Source: RNAcentral
GCAGGGAUAGGAAAGCGGCUAAAUCUGCCAGGCUUAGGACCUGGUCCCUUAGUGGGUUCGGAGGUUCGAAUCCUCCUCCCUGCA